GAUGAACGCUGGCGGCGUGCCUAAUACAUGCAAGUCGAGCGAACAGAUAAGGAGCUUGCUCCUUUGACGUUAGCGGCGGACGGGUGAGUAACACGUGGGUAACCUACCUAUAAGACUGGAAUAACUCCGGGAAACCGGGGCUAAUGCCGGAUAACAUGUUGAACCGCAUGGUUCUACAGUGAAAGGCGGCUUUGCUGUCACUUAUAGAUGGACCCGCGCCGUAUUAGCUAGUUGGUGAGGUAAAAGCUCACCAAGGCAACGAUACGUAGCCGACCUGAGAGGGUGAUCGGCCACACUGGAACUGAGACACGGUCCAGACUCCUACGGGAGGCAGCAGUAGGGAAUCUUCCGCAAUGGGCGAAAGCCUGACGGAGCAACGCCGCGUGAGUGAUGAAGGUCUUCGGAUCGUAAAACUCUGUUAUUAGGGAAGAACAAAUGCGUAAGUAACUGUGCGCGUCUUGACGGUACCUAAUCAGAAAGCCACGGCUAACUACGUG
RNAcentral lists this ribosomal RNA (497 nucleotides) under uncultured bacterium. RNAcentral's name for it is "partial 16S ribosomal RNA". It matches the Rfam family "Bacterial small subunit ribosomal RNA", at positions 28 to 507 of the family's 1533-position model. The record is from RNAcentral.